Molecule: long non-coding RNA, 1589 nt
Organism: Phasianus colchicus (ring-necked pheasant)
Lineage: Eukaryota; Metazoa; Chordata; Aves; Galliformes; Phasianidae
Source: RefSeq, a predicted model, not a curated record
GCCAGGGAGCACUGGCACAUUGUUUGCACCUGUGCUCCCCACCUGACAAGAAGGGGAGGACCCAUGGUGGAGCCACCCUGGGCUGAUAUAAGGACCAGCCACUGAAAAGAAAUCUUCUCUUAGAUCUACCCUGCUAUGUGGGAGUGCUGUGUAGCCAGAGAGCAUCUUCACCAGUUGGCUUCCACUGGAUAUUCAUCUACUGAAACACCAUCUUGGAUCAGCCAUGUCCGAAGUUUACUGAUUUUCUCUGGUAGAUAUAUGGAUGUUGAUCAGGUCACACUGGACUCACUUGCAAAUCUGGAGGAAUAAACUUCAGGAAUUCACUUGAAGAACUCGCACUUGAAGAAAAUUUGCAAGUAUUAUCACGCUGGGAAUGGAGAAUUGGUUUUUGCCAGGAGAUGAGUAGGAUGUUAUAACAAGAGGAUGCCUGAAGUCUUUGAAUUCUAAAGGAGCUUAUGAACAUCUGUAAUGCUUGUAGUAAUGCACCAAUUAGGAGGAAAUGAAGUUAAAUUUUUGUUUUCUGAACUCUUCUGUGUGUCUUUCUAUCUAUCUUGUCUUUUAUGCAUAACAUUACCUGAUGCCAGAGCUUGCACAAGAACAAAUAAAGGAGAUCUGGAGGUAACAAACUGUGCAUGAUGGAAAAGAUUCAGCUGGAGUGUUCCAUGGCAUUUUGGGCAUAAUACUUCAGAGAUGAUGUGGGUCAAAUGGAGGUACUCUGCAGAGAUAAAAGAAUAACUGGAGAUUGUGACCAGCAAGAAAUUAAAAAAGAAACAAGAUCUCAGAACUCCAAAGGAGGGUGGGAGAAAUAUUCCUCAGGUGUACCAAUACAGGAAAGAAUAGCCUGUUCUGGAAGCAUUCCAAAGAGAUAGGACAAUAGAUCUAAAUGUGAACAAUAUAAACCAUAGGUCUAAACUGCAGUAAAGAAGAUUCAGGGCCAAAUCAAAGGAAAAAAAUAUUAAAGGGCAUUCUAGUACUCAAUUAUAGUUCCUAGGAAAGCUGUUACAUUUUCAUCAUUAAAGUUGCUAUUUGACAUUGCUUUAGGCAAGUAUCUCUCAGGUAUGGCUGGAUGUGAGUUAAAAGAAAGAACUAGGUUGAUUUUUGAGAACUUUUCUAACCACAUUUCUAUGAGGGCUGCUCUGAAAAUAAUGCCUCCUAUUUUAUUAUGUUCGCCCACACCCUCAGAGGUGGAUCUUGGUGGUAUGGCAGUAGAAGUUGAACCCUCCCACCAAUAUUCCCUUCCUUACAUGUUGUUACUGUGUGAAAGAUGGCAGGAGGAGGGCAAUCUGACAAAAUGGCAUCCAACGUGGAAUUGCAAAUGGAGCAAAGGUAUGUGACUGAACUCCUCCAAGCAGAAAAAGUGCACUCACUGACAUUCAUCGAUGCUUACUGAAUGUUUAUGGAGACCAAACAGUGUAUAUGAGCACAGUGAGGUGGUGAGUGGUGUGUUUUAGAAGUGGCAACAGUUGUGAAAGACAAGCCAUGUUCUGGAUGGCCACAUAGAUUUUUACAGCAUGGCAUGCUCUUGUUCAUUGCUGGUGAAAAUGUGACUGUGUUGAAAAGUGGUGUUUUGUAGCUGAGAAUUUGCUCUA